Long non-coding RNA from Peromyscus leucopus (white-footed mouse), 1547 nucleotides. RefSeq lists it as uncharacterized. NCBI's taxonomy places the organism in Eukaryota, Metazoa, Chordata, Mammalia, Rodentia, Cricetidae. The record is from RefSeq and is a predicted model, not a curated record. The transcript has 2 exons.
CAAGCUUUUCUGUGACCUACCCUAUGGGGGUAACAGACUGGGUAGAAACCUCAUUGGCUGGAAGCUGGGUGUUUGAUAAUCAUAAACCACAGGGUCAAGCAGCUGGGCUGUGAAGGUCAAGUCAACUUCGUGAUCCCCACAGAAUAAAGCUGGAAAGGAUUCAGGAUCUGAGAUGGCUCAGGGGUCAUUAUUCUCAUGGCAGAAAGCCUGCCUCUCAUCCCCUAGUCCCCUUCUGGGUGCAGCAACUCUCUCCCAGAACGCUCAUCCCUUUCUGAGGCCCACUCUGGCUCCUGGUUCCUGCUCCCUUCUAUAUUGAGCCCAGGGAUUCUGAUUCUCCUAUUCCUAAACUCACUUGUCAUAAACAAGAACACAUACCCACUGGCUCCAGAACAAGACUCUUCAUUGCUGGACUCCCCCUGCCCAGGAUGCACCUGUCCCAUAUUAAAUGGCUCCUGGUGGUCUUCACGGAUUUCCCCACCUCUUCCUCAGCCAUUGUGUGGAUACACCCGCCAUACUGAAUAAGUCUGCUCAGGCCGCAGCCAUCUAGAGAGACAUACUUCUGUGUGAAAAUGUCCCAUUGAAGAGAUGUCCCAUCUAUGCCCCGGCUCAUGGAUUCCUGCACAGGGUGAAGCUGGCAUUUGUCAAUAGCAUUUAGCUAUGGGAAGGUCUAAACUAGGAGACCCCUUUCUCCCUUUUAUGGUGUUAGAAGAACAAACAGAAGCUGAUUCUCCAAAUACAAGUCAAAUUCAGUGGGGACGCAUAGAGCAUUGGAACGGUGUGUGUGUGUUACAGCACACAGUGUCCCCUUUCCAAUGGCUGGUGGAAAUAAAGGAGGAGAGUUACAUAACAUUCUUACAUAACCUUUCCUGGCAACAAAGAUGGACUUUGAGAGGGAUCAAGGAUCAGCAUCCAGAGCAGCUCCACUCCCACAGUGAACUGGGCACAGCAGUACAAGAUUAUGGUGAUCUUUGGGCAAGAUGUGUUGGGUCUCUGGUCGGUGGAGGAGAGAACAUUCACAGUGAUGUGGGAUGAGUGUGGGCUUUAGUGCCUCUCCUGCCUCGGUCCUUUCAGACUGGCCCUUGGUCUCAGUUCCUAGAGUGGAAGCCUCCAGAUAAACUCCAUCCAGGAUCGGGACAGAAUCCAUCUGGAAGAAGCUGGCUGGAUAGGCUUCCUUUCCUUCUGGGAGCUGAUAAAUUCUUUCUGGCCUGAUUUCUAAUGAUCUAGAGUUGAAGUCAGGUGUGCAUUGGGGAGAACAGAGGCCCUAAACAACCACCCUUGGGGAGUUUGGAGUAUUCAAGCAUAGCAAAGAGAGUGCAAGGUCCUGCUUUCUUACUGCUGGGAGCAGAGUCCACUCACCCACCCCCCCAUCCCCCCACCCCCGCUGAGUGGGGAAGUUCACAGUUCAUAGUUGCAGGUUGUGAAGGACCCACAUAACUCUAGCCAGAUUCCACAUGUCUAGUGAAGUUGCUGGUUUGUCUGUGCCUAAUUUCUGGGUUCAUUUGUUUUGUUGAAUCUUCAAGAGCUAUGAGACUAAAAGGCUGAACUUA